GUGCUCACUUCAGCAGCAUAUUUACUAAAAUUCAACAAUACAGGGAAGAUUAGCAUAGCCCCUGAGCAAGGACGACACACAAAUUCAUGAAGCGUUCCAUAUUUAA
RNAcentral lists this small nuclear RNA (106 nucleotides) under Moschus moschiferus (Siberian musk deer). Lineage: Eukaryota; Metazoa; Chordata; Mammalia; Artiodactyla; Moschidae. The record is from RNAcentral.